Long non-coding RNA from Haliotis rubra (blacklip abalone), 438 nucleotides. RefSeq lists it as uncharacterized. The transcript is spliced from 2 exons. Lineage: Eukaryota; Metazoa; Mollusca; Gastropoda; Lepetellida; Haliotidae. The record is from RefSeq and is a predicted model, not a curated record.
UGCAUGGACGUUCACUCACCUUGUACAUACACCACGAGAGACGAAAUGCACAGAAGAUUGACAGCCGCAAACAUCUCGCCUGACUGUGUGCUGCACUUCAUGUGGUCUGGGGGACGUACAAUACGAUUUCUAAAUCCCAUCGCCUAUCUGUCUGUCUGGGUCUGCAACCACGUAAACUUGCGAGGAUGCACCGUUUGUGUCCUCAUAUUACUGUAUUGACCCUCAAUGUUUACACCCAUCUCCUGUCCUAAACGGACCAAAGAUGUCAAACUGUGGCGCCAGUUAAAUCAGCACUAUGUAGCCAAAGGAGCACACAACGAUACUGUGGUCAGAUAAAAUACAUCGUCACUCGCCGCACCCACAGCGAUUUAUCAAAAUGUUUUAUAUUUGCAUUUGUAACACUUCUGCUAUCAGACGAAGAGUACAUCAUUCAUUGAA